UACGUAGGGUGCGAGCGUUAAUCGGAAUUACUGGGCGUAAAGCGUGCGCAGGCGGUUUUGUAAGCCAGAUGUGAAAUCCCCGGGCUUAACCUGGGAAUGGCAUUUGGGACUGCAAGGCUGGAGUGCGGCAGAGGAGACUGGAAUUCCUGGUGUAGCAGUGAAAUGCGUAGAUAUCAGGAGGAAUACCGAUGGCGAAGGCAGGUCUCUGGGACGGUACUGACGCUGAGACGCGAAAGCGUGGGGAGCGAACAGG
Molecule: ribosomal RNA, 253 nt
Filed under: uncultured bacterium
Lineage: Bacteria
Description: partial 16S ribosomal RNA
Rfam family: Bacterial small subunit ribosomal RNA
Source: RNAcentral